Octodon degus (degu) is the source of this 66-nucleotide non-coding RNA. The record is from the annotation of a RefSeq genome assembly. NCBI's taxonomy places the organism in Eukaryota, Metazoa, Chordata, Mammalia, Rodentia, Octodontidae.
CAUUAUGAAGCUAACCAGCAUUAACCUUUUAAGUUAAAGACUGAGAAUUCUUAUUCUCCAUAAUGA